Molecule: small RNA, 214 nt
Filed under: Arabidopsis thaliana (thale cress)
Lineage: Eukaryota; Viridiplantae; Streptophyta; Magnoliopsida; Brassicales; Brassicaceae
Description: ATSL258500
Source: RNAcentral
UCUACAAUGGAAAGCUAAACAAAUAUUUGAUUGUUACAGGUACUUUAAACUGUGAAUGGAUUUUUAUUAGAUCCAUAUAUAUAUUCUAGCGGAAAACGGUCUAUUUCUCCACGAUAAGUAUGACAUCAUAACAGAUAGAGCCCAGGCUUUAACCUCGUGCUAGAUAUGAUGUCAUAUUCUAGCUCUAUAUGUUAUGAUGUCAUAUUCUAGCCAU